GAGUUAGGUGAAGAGGAGAACGAUGUCCAGGCAGGGGCCGGGGAAGCUCGUGCCAAGGCACUGAGGGGAAGUGCUGCAAUGAACCUCAGAGGCUGGAUCUUGCUGACUCAUCUGGGGUACCAAGGACAGACAAAGGACAUGGAGUCCAGGCCCAGGAGGCGAUACCAGGCCAGCAGUUUCACUGAUGCUCCUGUCAUGACGAUGACUGCCUCCCUCCUCCCCUUGGUCCCUGACUCAGUGUCUGCAGUGACCAGGCACCAGGCAGGGAGCAAGGAACCAAGCCUUUCACCUGCUCCCACCAACUCCUAUGGUGCUCCCUUUCCAAGGCUAGGUCUCCUCUCCACCCAGUUCCUUAUCACGUACCAUGAGAAGCUGUCACCUUGGCAACUGUCACCUUCUGGUGAGAUUUACAAUUGCACUGCUACAACUGCUUGUGGCAUGGUAAAGUUGCACCAGGACCUCUGCUGUCCAUGAGAUCAAAGUUCCAGGCCAAGGCACCAGGGGCACGAACAGUGUUGCCCGCAUGGAACUCACACUUAAUGGGAGCGGCAGCCAACAGGAUGAUACCCGGCAAAUUCUUCAAAGCAGUGUUCUCCAACUUGAAUGUUUGUGAUGUGGGCGAUUCUGACUGAGGGGGUCUGUAGACCACAUCUUGAUAAACAAUGCUUUUUAAAAAAUUCCUAGAAGAGAAUAUUUGAUUUCUGGAAGGAUAGAGAAGAAACUAAUAAGAGUGUUUACCUCCGAGGAGGAGGAGAAUUGGGAAGCUGAGAGCAGAGGAGGGAGGAAGACUUACUUUUCACCGUGUUCUUUUUUGUACCUUUUGAGUUUUGUACGACAUACUGAAUCUUUGACCCAUUUGCAAUUAUAAAUAAAGGCACAUUUAUUUGGCCGGGCGCGGUGGCUCAUGCCUGUAAUCCCAGCACUUUGGGAGGACGAGGUGGGUGGAUCACCUAAGGUCAGGAGUUAGUGACCAGCCUGGCCAACAUGGUGAAACCUCGCUCUACUAAAACACAAAAAUUAGCCAGAUGUGGUGGCAGGCACCUGUAAUCCCAGCUACUCAGAAGGCUGAGGCAGGAGAAUCGCUUGAACCUGGGAGGCAGAGGUUGCAGUGAGCUGAGAUCGCACGACUGCACUCCAGCCUGGGCAACAGAGUGAGACUCUGUCUCAAAAAAAAAAAAAAAAAAAAGAAAAAGAAAAUAAUUAGCCAGGCAUGGUGGCAGGCGCCUAUA
RNAcentral lists this long non-coding RNA (1229 nucleotides) under Homo sapiens (human). RNAcentral describes it as "HSALNT0390502". The record is from RNAcentral. Lineage: Eukaryota; Metazoa; Chordata; Mammalia; Primates; Hominidae.